RNAcentral lists this ribosomal RNA (472 nucleotides) under uncultured bacterium. RNAcentral's name for it is "bacterial SSU rRNA". It matches the Rfam family "Bacterial small subunit ribosomal RNA", at positions 28 to 498 of the family's 1533-position model. The record is from RNAcentral.
GAUGAACGCUGGCGGCGUGCUUAACACAUGCAAGUCGAACGAAGCACCUUAUUUGAUUUUCUUCGGAACUGAAGAUUUGGUGACUGAGUGGCGGACGGGUGAGUAACGCGUGGGUAACCUGCCCUGUACAGGGGGAUAACAAUCAGAAAUGACUGCUAAUACCGCAUAAGACCACAGCACCGCAUGGUGCAGGGGUAAAAACUCCGGUGGUACAGGAUGGACCCGCGUCUGAUUAGCUGGUUGGUGAGGUAACGGCUCACCAAGGCGACGAUCAGUAGCCGGCUUGAGAGAGUGAACGGCCACAUUGGGACUGAGACACGGCCCAAACUCCUACGGGAGGCAGCAGUGGGGAAUAUUGCACAAUGGGGGGAACCCUGAUGCAGCGACGCCGCGUGAGUGAAGAAGUAUCUCGGUAUGUAAAGCUCUAUCAGCAGGGAAGAAAAUGACGGUACCUGACUAAGAAGCCCCGGCU